AUUCAAUAGUACAAUGCGUCGUGCUGUGCAUCAACUGCGAAAAAGUGCUGGGUGAGGCCAAGCGGACAAGCUUAUUGCUUACUAAGCUUGAAUUAACUGGAAAGUGCAGUGAGGCUAAAUAUUUGAAACAUAGAGCAUUCCACAAUGAAAAAUGCGAAUUUUCCAUUUUCGGAAUAUUUUGCAUCAGCACCAAGUUUUUGUCUCAGGUAUC
This is a long non-coding RNA of Cloeon dipterum, 211 nucleotides long. RefSeq lists it as uncharacterized. NCBI's taxonomy places the organism in Eukaryota, Metazoa, Arthropoda, Insecta, Ephemeroptera, Baetidae. The record is from RefSeq and is a predicted model, not a curated record. The transcript has 3 exons.